GGGAGUGUAGCUCAGUGGUACAGCACUUGCCUAGCAUGCAUGAGGCCCUGGGAUCCAUCUCCAGCACUGCCU
Molecule: transfer RNA, 72 nt
Filed under: Fukomys damarensis (Damara mole-rat)
Lineage: Eukaryota; Metazoa; Chordata; Mammalia; Rodentia; Bathyergidae
Rfam family: tRNA
About the family: Transfer RNA (tRNA) molecules are approximately 80 nucleotides in length.
Source: Rfam by way of RNAcentral